UUCACUUCUUUUGGGUAAAUGCCCAGAAGUGGGGCUGCUGGAUCAUAGGGUAGCUCUAUGUUUAAUUUUUUGAGGAACCUCCACACUGUUUUCCACACAGCUGCACGAUUUUGCGUUCUCACCAGCCAUGGACAAGGGUUCCACUUUCUCCGCAUCCUCGCGGUUACUUGUUGGCUUUUGUUUUAUUGAUGAUAUCCAUCCUAGUGGAUGCAGGCAGUAACCCGCUGCAGGCUUGAUUUGCAUUCCCUAAUGAUUGGUGAGGCGGGGCGUCCUUUCGUGUGCUUACUGGUCAUUUGGAUAUCUUCUUUGGAGAAAUGUCCUUUGCCCAUUUUAAAAAAUUGGAUUGGUCUUUGUUAUUGGGCACUGGGAGUUCUUUAUAUAUUCUGGAUAUUAGUCCCUAAACACCAUCUUCAGUUCUUGCCUUUCCAGGCGCACUGCAUCCGAUGGCCUCCAGCCCACGAGUGAAAACCGCUCCUCCAAAGCCCUGCCUCACCCCGGCAGUUCGCCCGGCUCCUCCCCGCCGCCCUGGCUGUGACACCGCCUCACUCUGUGUCUACACUCCAACAGUUUGUUUUUAAGUGUAUUUGGCUUUUGGUGUUAAAUAUGUUUGCCUCACUCUCAAUUUUUUAAAUUCCUCAGGAUAAUAAUAAUAACUGAAAUGUCCUGAAGGUUGCCAUGUGCCGGGCACUAGUCAGCAGGUUAGUAGGUGACCCAUUUCAAGCCAGAUGCUGCUUGGUUGCCGUUUUUACAAGGAGGACAUCAAAAUACCCGAAUUCGAUCAGUGUCACACACCCCACAGACCUGGAGCGGACCAGCCUGGCUCCAGACGCCCAGCUUUCCACCCCACACUGUGGAAGUUUCUUCUUGCCUGCCCGUGGUGGUGACUUCCUGACACAGCAUAUCAGCGGAUUGUUUCUUGGCGCCAGCGCUUGUGCCUCUAAAUUUCAGUCGAAGUGGUUUUGAUUCCCGCUUUGUUCUUGGUCACAGCGGAGGCUAAUACCACUUCCUGGUUUUCUAGUGGUUUUGUGGCUUAUCAAAAACUAAAUAUGGUUGCUCUCGGGAAGGCUGGUAACAAAUCCUCAAGGACCAAAUGUUAUGUAGAACCACCCACUCUAGUUUAAGAGGAAAAUAAGUAUAAAACUGGGUCACAGGCAUGUGGCAGGUCCAUGAGAUCCUUGGAAGUUCUAGGAAUCACCGGCUGUGAAAGUAAGAACAGCUCCGGGUCUCGUGGGUUUGCUUGGGGCCGGGGCGGGGGGUGGGGUGGGUUGUGCUGUAUUCUUCCCUUACGUUCUCUCUCUUGAUUCUCCCAAAACCCCUGUGAGGCAGGUGAUGGGUCCACAGUUAUGUGUCUAACACCAGCUAAGUGCCAGGCAUGGUCCUGUGCUGUGAGGACUCAGCCAUGAGCAUAGAAGACAAGAUCCUGGCCCUGGAGCAGCCCCCUUUACAGCAGAGAGACGGACAGGAAAUGAGAAAAGGGACCAAAGGAGAAGCUCAGAGACCAGGAAAGGACAGCGAGUGCACGAUGGCAGCCCGAACCAGGGUGGAGGGUAAGUGUGAAGGCUGCUGGAGGCAGAAGCAGUGCAUGUGCAGGAUCAGGAAAGGGAGGGUUGGGGGUGAGCACAGCUGGGUGGAUGGUGGAGCCGUACUUACUGAGACGGAAGACCCUGGGGCAUUGGUUUUGGGGGAGGGAAUCGAGGUUGGAUCUGGACAGUUUCCAUUUGAAGUUCCUGCUGGACAAGCACCUAAGGAUGGAUGUGGGCCCGGAGCACAGAGAGCGGUCAGGAGACACCAGGUUGGAAGUCAGCAGCACAGAAGAGGUAUUUAAAGCUGAGGGAAUUUAUCAGUAACCCGGGGGAGUAGGAAACAGCAAUGGGGAUGGAGGGGUACCUGCCAUCGUCUGUCAGAUGUCUGUCUGGCCCAGAGCAUCCUUCCCACUUAUCCUCCAACCUUCUGAAGUUUUCAUGGACGGUGGCCACGGUCGUGAGUGUGACUGAAGGGGACUCUCCUGAGGUUCAGGGCACAGAGGUAGUUCCCCUGGGUCUUUUGUUAGCGCAGCACCCCCACCCCCACUCCCACCCAACCCAGCUGCCCUUUCACGCCUGUAUUCUAGAGCAAGUGCCCAAAUCUGUGUCCAUCUUGAUCUCACCCCUUCACCCAGAGAGAGUAAUUGGGAAAUUGACCCUCCGCCUUACUUACUGUCCACACAUGUGGCAUAGAAAGAAAUCUAGAAUUUUCCUUUUGACUUUUUCCUUCGCUGUUGAUUUGUGCCAAUGGUCAGCGUCUUGCUGGGUGAAUUCUGCUUCUCGGCCCUGUUCUUCAGGUACAGAGGGAUUCUGUUCUUGCCCAGGAGCGGGUUUUCCCCCCUACCCCGCCCGCCCACAAGUAUAUUUUGCACAUAAGUUCUUAGCCACUCUCCUUCGUUGAGAUUUUUAAAGAGGGAAUGGUUUUGGCUGUCAAGUUUCUCUAACAGAAUCGUCCUUGCUACACACGAAGGCUGCUGGUUUUCCCUCUAGGAACCCCAGGCAGGCUCCCUGCUUUGCAUGUGGCUGGGUAAACUGGAGGGUGAGUCACGGGAGUGACAGCGGAGUCCGCUGCAGGGGAGCUCACGUGGGUGCUCGGCUGGGACACACGGAGCAUGUGUAGAACCAGUUGGCUCACAUUCUGCAUUGGGCAACGUGUGCCGACACAGAGGGACUCUUGUUUUUGAGUCUCUUGCUUUCCCACACCCUCUGAUACUGCCACCCCCACCCCGCUGGCUCCUGCCAGCUCCUCGGCCCCGCCCAGGCUGAGCUGCCACCCAGCCCUGCGUUUGGGAGCAACUCCGCGGCUGCCCCAGGCAGCCUCAGCUCCCCUGACUUGCUGAGGCUUUCUCCUGCUGUCUCUCAAGCCCAUCCACUUCCCUCCAUCCCUCAGUCCGCCUAGCCAAGCAGGGCGGCAGCCAGCCCUUGCUGGGACGACCGCAUCUGCCCCUUACUUGACCUCCUCGUCUCCUGGAGCGGUCUCUGCUCACUCACUUCUCCCCCACUUGGCAGCGAGGAUGAUUUCUCUAAAUCACAAGUCUUCAUCGCAUGACUUCCCUGCUUAAUCAUUCCAGGGUUUCCUAUCGCUCUCAAGUCUGAACCGCUGAGGCACUUAGAGGAAGGCUUCUCCACUGUGACUGUGCACCAGGUCCCCUGGGGAUCUGAAAGCACGGAUUCUGAGUCAGUAAGUCUGCAAUCAGGGCUGAUAUUCUGCAUUUCUCAUAAGCUCCCGGGUGGGGCCUGUCCUGCUGGUCUGUGCAGGCCACUCUGAGGAGCAAGGACCAGGAGGUCCCCUGCCUGUCUCCCUAACCUCAUCUCUUGCCACCUUCCCAACUCUGUUCCAGCCACACUGAACUUAUUCUAGCUCCCAGAAUGCAUCACAUUUCCACUCAUCCCUGGGCCUUUGCACGUGCACCCUCACUAGCGCACUCUUGUACCCCAGCCUGGCUGGCUUCUGCCCUUUAUUUCAGUUAGAGGGUAGAUGUCAUUUCCUCUAGGAAGUCUUCUCUGAUUCUCCAACCCCAGGGAACAAAUUGGGGAGUGUGUUUGUGGCCCAGCAGUGGUGUGAGGUGGAGGGAUAGGGUGGUAAUAAUGUUAUGCUCAGGGACAAGGUCAAAGGGGUGAGUGAGCUGAACCGUGAGGUACAAGGUGGCAGCCAGAGAGGUGGGGAGCCAUUUCCUUCUACAGAAUGUUCUAGGAAGAAGAUUCUCGUGUCCCCUGUGGUGGACAGAAGACUGUCUGACCUGAGCUUGUGCAAAGGGUCCCAGGUCUCCUGCUGAGCAGAGAGGAUCCCCGAGGAAAGGCCACUGCUUCCGCCGCACGAGGUCAGCCACACAACUGUGUGUGUGUCCUCAGGCCACCUGAAAGUCAUGUCUGCAUGACCAAGGCUGUUACAAGGAUGAAAACUUUUUCCAGAAAGUUCUUUUUUGACCACAGCCUGAGAGAGAAUCAUGGAGACAAGUUUCUACAGUAGAAAUCUCCUUUCCUUAAGAAAAUCUUUUUCUUUAAAAGUAUCCUUUAAUUUUUUUUCUCUUUUUUAGUUUAUGUGCUCCUUUGGUCCUUGUUUGAUUUUUGACUUAUAAAGUUAUUUCCUAUGCAG
Vicugna pacos (alpaca) is the source of this 4119-nucleotide non-coding RNA. Lineage: Eukaryota; Metazoa; Chordata; Mammalia; Artiodactyla; Camelidae. The record is from RefSeq and is a predicted model, not a curated record.